This 465-nucleotide ribosomal RNA is filed under the name uncultured bacterium. Its description in RNAcentral is "bacterial SSU rRNA". It matches the Rfam family "Bacterial small subunit ribosomal RNA", at positions 338 to 795 of the family's 1533-position model. The record is from RNAcentral.
CCUACGGGUGGCAGCAGUAGGGAAUCUUCCGCAAUGGACGAAAGUCUGACGGAGCAACGCCGCGUGAGCGAAGAAGGUCUUCGGAUCGUAAAGCUCUGUUGUUAGGGAAGAACAAGUACGGGAGGAAAUGACCGUACCUUGACGGUACCUAACGAGGAAGCCACGGCUAACUACGUGCCAGCAGCCGCGGUAAUACGUAGGUGGCAAGCGUUGUCCGGAAUUAUUGGGCGUAACGCGCGCGCAGGCGGUCUUUUAAGUCUGAUGUGGAAUCUUGCGGCUCAACCGCAAGCGGUCAGUGGAAACUGGGAGCUUGAAGGGCAGAAGAGUAGGGCGGAUAUGAAGGUGUAGCGGGACAGGGCGUAGGGAUGAGGCGGAACCGCAGUGAUGAUGGUGGCGUAGUGUCGUGUAACAGUGGUGGAGGCGGGAAAGCGUGUGGGGAAGCGAUGAUGCAAUAUCCGGUUAGUC